AUGCCCUCACGACACAGCAGGAGGGAUGAUAUCAGCAUAUUGCAGAUCAGCCGAAUAUGCACUGUCAUCAACUUUAACGUAGGCUUCAAAAAGGUUUUGAAGUUCUGUGGCAUCCCUGGCCAUGCUCACAGCUUGCAGCAAUCACAGCCAAGUGGCAUAACAUGCUCCCACCGCGCUCUCUAGGUCCAAGGAGGCCACAAGGACAUGUGCUCGCCCUGAUCCCACACCAAAGCUCAGCGCAGGAAAAGCUGCUCGGGCUUGAUCUGAGCCUGCAGUUCAAGGGAGGAUGACAGAUACCUCCAGGGCCUGACCCCGCACCCACCAUGGGCUGUAUUUACAAUGAUUUUGGGUCUCAGGCUGUAUUUACAAUGAUUUUUACAGUCUCGGGCUGUAUUUACAGUGAUUUCGUUAGGCUGUCCAUCAGAGCCUUUGGUAUUAGCAUACAGUACGCUCAGAUCUAGGAGCCAUUUCCAAACCAGAAGCAGUUCGUCUAUUUAAAACCUGUUGGUUUGUGAACUUAUCUCUAAACACUUCCACAGGAGAACAGUGAAGUGUCAAAAGCCCGUGCCUUGAGUGACUGGCACACAGAGCAUCCUGCAAAGGGAAAGCACCACAUUUGUUCUCCUACUGUGAAAAGAAAAGGUUGCCACUUUUCCUGUAAAAAAUUAUAAGGCCAUUAUUUAAACAGCAGCAACAUAGGAUCUACACUUUUUUUUUUUUUUUUUAAUCGGAAGAUUUUAUCGAUGACAGAAAAAGCCUCUUGGAAGGAGGGUAUGUGCACGAGUAAGAGCAGAGGGGAUUUUUAGUGUGGUAGAGCUGUGAGGAAGCCCCAGAGCCAGAGCCUCUGGGUGCAGCACAUCAGCGACAGCCCUGUCUGGUAGCGACAGGCUAGGUAUUAAAAGCAGAGUUGGUGGAGAAUGCAGCUAAGACAUAGAGCCAUAUGCAGGUAAUGAUUGAUCUCCACUGACCGAGAUCCAAAAAUACCAUCAUCUUUACACAUCACAGAUAUUUUUAUUGACAUGGUUAAAAAUGCCAGUACCCAAAGAGCAUUGGGUAAUGCCUUCUAGAAAAGCACCUAGGAAGAAGUCGGUGAGUCAGAAGGUCAGAUUUUUGUUUUUACAGUGAUGUUAAAGACCAGGUUCAUUUAUAAGAGAGAGAAGUCUACACCUCCGAAAUCUUGUCU
Molecule: long non-coding RNA, 1183 nt
Filed under: Anser brachyrhynchus (Pink-footed goose)
Lineage: Eukaryota; Metazoa; Chordata; Aves; Anseriformes; Anatidae
Description: lncRNA (ENSABRG00000001420.1)
Source: RNAcentral